GAUGAACGCUGGCGGCGUGCCUAAUACAUGCAAGUCGAGCGAACAGACGAGGAGAUUGCUCCUCUGACGUUAGCGGCGGACGGGUGAGUAACACGUGGAUAACCUACCUCUAAGACUUGGAUAACUUCGGGAAACCGGAGCUAAUACCGGAUAAUAUAUUGAACCGCAUGGUUCAAUAGUGAAAGACGGCUUUGCUGUCACUUAUAGAUGUAUCCGCGCCGCAUUAGUUAGUUGGUAAGGUAACGGCUUACCAAGGCAACGAUGCGUAGCCGACCUGAGAGGGUGAUCGGCCACACUGGAACUGAGACACGGUCCAGACUCCUACGGAGGCAGCAGUAGGGAAUCUUCCGCAAUGGGCGAAAGCCUGACGGAGCAACGCCGCGUGAGUGAUGAAGGUCUUCGGAUCGUAAAACUCUGUUAUUAGGGAAGAACAAAUGUGUAAGUAACUAUGCACGUCUUGACGGUACCUAAUCAGAAAGCCACGGCUAACUACGUG
Molecule: ribosomal RNA, 496 nt
Filed under: uncultured bacterium
Lineage: Bacteria
Description: partial 16S ribosomal RNA
Rfam family: Bacterial small subunit ribosomal RNA
Source: RNAcentral